This 410-nucleotide ribosomal RNA is filed under the name Chaetozone setosa. Its description in RNAcentral is "SSU rRNA". It matches the Rfam family "Eukaryotic small subunit ribosomal RNA", at positions 564 to 979 of the family's 1831-position model. The record is from RNAcentral. Lineage: Eukaryota; Metazoa; Annelida; Polychaeta; Terebellida; Cirratulidae.
GUGCCAGCAGCCGCGGUAAUUCCAGCUCCAAUAGCGUAUAUUAAAGUUGUUGCAGUUAAAAAGCUCGUAGUUGGAUCUCGGGUCCAGGCUUGUGGUGCAGCUUAGGCUGCUUACUGCUCGUCCUGACCUACCUACCGGUUUUCCCUUGGUGCUCUUAAGUGAGUGUCUUGGGUGGCCGGAACGUUUACUUUGAAAAAAUUAGAGUGCUCAAAGCAGGCUUUCGCCUGAAUAUUAGUGCAUGGAAUAAUUGAAUAGGACCUCGGUUCUAUUUUGUUGGUUUUCGGAACUCGAGGUAAUGAUUAAGAGGGACAGACGGGGGCAUUCGUAUUACGGUGUUAGAGGUGAAAUUCUUGGAUCGCCGUAAGACGAACUACUGCGAAAGCAUUUGCCAAGAAUGUUUUCAUUAAUCA